CCCCUUUUAAAAGUACUCAGUGGGCCUUGACUCAUGGCCCACCGAGCCUCCCCUAAAGAGCAGACUGAAAACACCACUUUUGGGAGAAGGGGCAGCGUGAGGUGUUCCGCUUCGGUCGCUGGUGUGACAGGC
This is a small nucleolar RNA of Suricata suricatta (meerkat), 132 nucleotides long. The record is from Ensembl. NCBI's taxonomy places the organism in Eukaryota, Metazoa, Chordata, Mammalia, Carnivora, Herpestidae.